CCUACGGGAGGCAGCAGUAAGGAAUAUUGGUCAAUGGACGACAAGUCUGAACCAGCCAUGCCGCGUGAAGGAUUAAGGUCCUCUGGAUUGUAAACUUCUUUUAUUUUGGGACGAAAAAGGGCCUUUCUAGGUCAACUGACGGUACCAGAUGAAUAAGCACCGGCUAACUCCGUGCCAGCAGCCGCGGUAAUACGGAGGGUGCAAGCGUUAUCCGGAUUCACUGGGUUUAAAGGGUGCGUAGGCGGGUAGGUAAGUCAGUGGUGAAAUCCUGGAGCUCAACUCCAGAACUGCCAUUGAUACUAUUUAUCUUGAAUAUUGUGGAGGUAAGCGGAAUAUGUCAUGUAGCGGUGAAAUGCUUAGAUAUGACAUAGAACACCUAUUGCGAAGGCAGCUUACUACGCAUAUAUUGACGCUGAGGCACGAAAGCGUGGGGAUCAAACAGGAUUAGAUACCCUGGUAGUCCACGCCCUAAACUAUGAUUACUCGACAUUUGUGAUACACAAUAAGUGUCUGAGCGAAAGCAUUAAGUAAUCCACCUGGGAAGUACGUCCGCAAGGAUGAAACUUAAAGGAAAUUGACGGCUGAGAGAGCGACGACGACACGAGGGAGGAGG
RNAcentral lists this ribosomal RNA (613 nucleotides) under uncultured bacterium. Its description in RNAcentral is "bacterial SSU rRNA". It matches the Rfam family "Bacterial small subunit ribosomal RNA", at positions 338 to 951 of the family's 1533-position model. The record is from RNAcentral.